UCACAAGAUUCUGUGAUGGGCAUUCUAUUGAAUUUUGCUCUUUGAUCAAACUACGGAUAAAUAAUUGUCCUGCCAAUCCUCCAAGUCCAUCUCUUUUUUAUGAAAAGGUUGCAAUCCCUAGCUUGGAGGAUUUGAUAAUAGAAAAAAUGAGUAACUUGGAAAGUAUAUGGCACAACCAACUCGCCGUAGGUUCCUUCUGCAAACUAAAAUCAAUAUUCAUUGAUGAAUGUAAAAACUUGCACACUCUUUUUCCAUCUAAUGCCUUAAGAAGAUUCCAGAGUUUGGAAUGGUUGAAAAUAUGGAGUUGUCAUUCACUAUAAGAGAUAUAUCGACUUCCGGAGUUCUAUGUUGAAGAAGCAAGUUUUGUAACAGAAUUUGAUUUGAGGUCUAUGCAUAUACAUAAUCUAGACAAAUUGAAGCAUAUAUGGAGUAGAGAUCCGCAAGGAAUUUUCACCUUCAAUAAUCUAGAUUUGGUAGAACUUUCCUAUUGCAAGGUUUUGAAAAAUGUCUUUCCCGCUUCCGUAGCACAAAACCUUUCACGACUUGAAAGGCUUGAAGUAUAUUAUUGUGGGGUGGAGAAGAUUGUUGCAAAGACAGAAAGUGUAGAAGUAGCCUCUUCUUUCGUGUUCCCAAAACUACUCUCCUUGACUCUCACAAGUCUAAAAGAAAUCAGGACAUUUUCUCCAGGAAUGCAUAGUUUUGAAUUCCCAAAGUUAAAAGAUAUGACGGUGCAUUGUUGUGGAAAUGGAAUGGAGUUUGGUUCAAAAUUGUUUGGUUUAAAGGAAAAACAUGGAGAGGACCAACAUCACAUCACUAUUCAACAACCGUUACACUUGGAGAA
RNAcentral lists this unclassified non-coding RNA (841 nucleotides) under Hevea brasiliensis (rubber tree). The record is from RNAcentral. Lineage: Eukaryota; Viridiplantae; Streptophyta; Magnoliopsida; Malpighiales; Euphorbiaceae.